AUUGAACGCUGGCGGCAGGCCUAACACAUGCCAGUCGAGCGGAUGAAGGGAGCUUGCUCCUGGAUUCAGCGGCGGACGGGUGAGUAAUGCCUAGGAAUCUGCCUGGUAGUGGGGGAUAACGUCCGGAAACGGGCGCUAAUACCGCAUACGUCCUGAGGGAGAAAGUGGGGGAUCUUCGGACCUCACGCUAUCAGAUGAGCCUAGGUCGGAUUAGCUAGUUGGUGGGGUAAAGGCCUACCAAGGCGACGAUCCGUAACUGGUCUGAGAGGAUGAUCAGUCACACUGGAACUGAGACACGGUCCAGACUCCUACGGGAGGCAGCAGUGGGGAAUAUUGGACAAUGGGCGAAAGCCUGAUCCAGCCAUGCCGCGUGUGUGAAGAAGGUCUUCGGAUUGUAAAGCACGUUAAGUUGGGAGGAAGGGCAGUAAGUUAAUACCUUGCUGUUUUGACGGUACCAACAGAAUAAGCACCGGCUAACUUCGUG
Molecule: ribosomal RNA, 484 nt
Filed under: uncultured bacterium
Lineage: Bacteria
Description: partial 16S ribosomal RNA
Rfam family: Bacterial small subunit ribosomal RNA
Source: RNAcentral